AUGGAGCUCGCGCCCGAGGCGCGACCGUUGUUGCCCCGUCGAUGUCGUGAACCGAGGCCUCCCCAAGCACUGAGGUGGAGUCUAGAAGAUGCGCGCCGCCGUCUCCGACACCGAAGAAACAGGAGCCGGACUCAGAAGCCCUCAUCGACAUCGUCCUCGGUCGUCUUUCUCACUACGGUCGUCGCUGUUCGUCGUCAGAUUUGUCGCAUCCCGACAACCUCCGGCCUCCCCGACCUCGCCUUCGUGUUCAUUACUACGAGACCGACGUCGCUGCUGGUGCCCCGACCGACUACGCUGUUGACGACCCCUACUUGCCAGAGCAACCAGAUGGCUGGCUACAGCUGUGAGAAUCGAGUGUUCACCAACGUGCCCGAGGGGUUUGUCAAGCUCCUCGUCUCCAUCACCAAGCUCGCGAUCGGGCCAGCAGCUCGCCCGGAGUUCACCCUCUAUCAGCACAAGCUCAGUGACGACGUGUCUAUGCACCAGGCUGUGGUGCAGUUCAAGGGAGGACGUUCAGCUGCACGCCAUUUCCGUUUUACGGGAAGGGCCAUGCCUACGGAGAGGCAUGCCAUGCAGAUGGCUGCCCGUGAGGCGAUAGCUCGCCUUCGGGACAUCCUUCCUAUGAUGAAGACUCGUCGCUACCGCUACCUCCCAUGCCAUGUGCCUUACACCAGCCACUAUGCGUUCGCCUGCCAUCGGGGAGAGCGAGAUGAAGCCAUCGAGAUGGUUGUGGAGUAUCUCAAGGCUCUGGAGGAGUCCUUCGACAACCUCGUAGAUGAUCUUGUGGCUGCCCGCAUGGACUUAGUCCGGGGCGGUCCUGCCAGCAGGAAGGAGCUUCUCCACACGGCGCCGCCUCUGACAUUCGUCUCGUCUUCAGCCUCGUAUGCACCGGCCGUUUUGGCCACUGCUCGCCGUCUGCCUACCACUGAGGAGUUCGACCGAGUCAUCGCUCCUACUCCAGUCAGAGCCGCACCGCCUGCCGCACGCGCUCUACCACCAGUCGCCCUCGCACCAUCACCGCAGCGCAGCGUCGCACGCCAGGAGCCAGCUAGAGAGGAGGAGGUUGAUUCUCCUGGACCGCUGAGCCUGGCCAUCGGCAAGGGGAAGGAGAUCUUCACCAUCUUCGACUGA
This 1131-nucleotide ribosomal RNA is filed under the name Triticum aestivum (bread wheat). RNAcentral's name for it is "partial small subunit ribosomal RNA". The record is from RNAcentral. Lineage: Eukaryota; Viridiplantae; Streptophyta; Magnoliopsida; Poales; Poaceae.